CCUACGGGGGGCAGCAGUGGGGAAUAUUGCACAAUGGGGGAAACUCUGAUGCAGCGACGCCGCGUGAGUGAAGAAGUAUUUCGGUAUGUAAAGCUCUAUCAGCAGGGAAGAAACCCACCCUCCGGGGUGGCUGACGUUACCUGACUAAGAAGCCCCGGCUAACUACGUGCCAGCAGCCGCGGUAAUACGUAGGGGGCAAGCGUUAUCCGGAUUUACUGGGUGUAAAGGGAGCGUAGGUGGCAAGGCAAGUCAGAUGUGAAAACCCGGGGCCCAACCCCGGGAGUGCAUUUGAAACUGUCUGGCUGGAGUGCAGGAGAGGAAAGUGGAAUUCCUGGUGUAGCGGUGAAAUGCAUAGAUAUUAGGAGGAACACCAGUGGCGAAGGCGGCUUACUGGACUGUAACUGACACUGAGGCUCGAAAGCGUGGGGAGCAAACAGGAUUAGAUACCCGGGUAGUC
This 457-nucleotide ribosomal RNA is filed under the name uncultured bacterium. RNAcentral's name for it is "partial 16S ribosomal RNA". It matches the Rfam family "Bacterial small subunit ribosomal RNA", at positions 338 to 795 of the family's 1533-position model. The record is from RNAcentral.